This 272-nucleotide long non-coding RNA is filed under the name Nicotiana benthamiana. Its description in RNAcentral is "long non-coding RNA (NBEN_LNC008914)". Lineage: Eukaryota; Viridiplantae; Streptophyta; Magnoliopsida; Solanales; Solanaceae. The record is from RNAcentral.
UACAACUUACAGCGCCCAAAACAUACACCCGUAUAUACAAGUAUUAACCCACAUUGCACUAUCUACAGAGCCUCUAAGAGAAAGAUAAUACAACACUUGCCGGCAAUAAGGACCCAGCUUUGCCUUUGCAAUGACAUCACAGAAAAACUAUUACAACAACAGAGGUGGCCUGAACCACGCAAAGCCCAAGAAGGAAAGGGGCUCACCAACAUGUACACAACUGAUAAAAAGGAGGAGGAGCUACGUACGAUGGACUGGAGCGCCUGCAACGG